RNAcentral lists this long non-coding RNA (452 nucleotides) under Panax ginseng (ginseng). RNAcentral describes it as "long non-coding RNA (PGIN_LNC004468)". Lineage: Eukaryota; Viridiplantae; Streptophyta; Magnoliopsida; Apiales; Araliaceae. The record is from RNAcentral.
CUUAUGUGGAAUGCACCGAAGCCGAAUUUUCUGUAGGCGACGUCGUGAAUGACGAUGGCAAGUUGAUAGGUAUCAACGUGACAUACUAUCCCAAUGCCACUUAUUUAAAUAAACAAACAAACAAAACCUGAUCUCCCAUGUCAAAUAAUUAACAAACAAAAUCUCUAUAAGCUAGAGAAAAAAUUUCCCCAAGAUGGACUUGGAAUCCAAGUUUAAGAAUUUAUUAGAACAGCAAUAAGAGAGAACAAAACAGAAAAACAAAUCAGUUCCCCGGAAACUGGCAUUGCCAAUGCCUCUCCGGUGUCGGGUAAAGGUGCCAGGGCGCCGCUAUCUUGGCCGGAUACUUGCAACAAUGCCGCCGCCAUGGCCACGACCAGAAUGAACAUUUUAAUGUUAACUUGAGAGGUACCAAAAUGUGCCAUUUUUGUUAACAACAUUAAUUAAUACAGAAC